RNAcentral lists this ribosomal RNA (620 nucleotides) under uncultured bacterium. Its description in RNAcentral is "bacterial SSU rRNA". It matches the Rfam family "Bacterial small subunit ribosomal RNA", at positions 338 to 956 of the family's 1533-position model. The record is from RNAcentral.
CCUACGGGAGUCAGCAGUGGGGAAUUUUGGACAAUGGGCGCAAGCCUGAUCCAGCAAUGCCGCGUGAGUGAAGAAGGCCUUCGGGUUGUAAAGCUCUUUUGUCAGGGAAGAAACGGUGAUUUCUAAUACAGAUUGCUAAUGACGGUACCUGAAGAAUAAGCACCGGCUAACUACGUGCCAGCAGCCGCGGUAAUACGUAGGGUGCAAGCGUUAAUCGGAAUUACUGGGCGUAAAGCGUGCGCAGGCGGUUUUGUAAGUUUGUCGUGAAAUCCCCGGGCUCAACCUGGGAAUGGCGAUGAAGACUGCAAGGCUAGAAUCUGGCAGAGGGGGGUAGAAUUCCACGUGUAGCAGUGAAAUGCGUAGAGAUGUGGAGGAACACCGAUGGCGAAGGCAGCCCCCUGGGUCAAGAUUGACGCUCAUGCACGAAAGCGUGGGGAGCAAACAGGAUUAGAUACCCUAGUAGUCCACGCCCUAAACGAUGUCUACUAGUUGUCGGGUUUUAAUUAACUUGGUAACGCAGCUAACGCGUGAAGUAGACCGCCGUGGGGAGUACGGUCGCAAGUAUUAAAACUUAAGNGAAUUGACCGGNNGAGAGAGCGACGACGACGACGAGGAGGAGG